CCUACGGGCGGCAGCAGUGAGGAAUAUUGGUCAAUGGACGAGAGUCUGAACCAGCCAAGUAGCGUGAAGGAUGACUGCCCUAUGGGUUGUAAACUUCUUUUAUAUGGGAAUAAAAUGUUCCACGUGUGGGAUUUUGUAUGUACCAUAUGAAUAAGGAUCGGCUAACUCCGUGCCAGCAGCCGCGAUAAUACGGAGGAUCCGAGCGUUAUCCGGAUUUAUUGGGUUUAAAGGGAGCGUAGGUGGAUUGUUAAGUCAGUUGUGAAAGUUUGCGGCUCAACCGUAAAAUUGCAGUUGAAACUGGCAGUCUUGAGUACAGUAGAGGUGGGCGGAAUUCGUGGUGUAGCGGUGAAAUGCUUAGAUAUCACGAAGAACUCCGAUUGCGAAGGCAGUUCACUGGACUGCAACUGACACUGAGGCUCGAAAGUGUGGGUAUCAAACAGGAUUAGAUACCCGGGUAGUC
RNAcentral lists this ribosomal RNA (460 nucleotides) under uncultured bacterium. RNAcentral describes it as "partial 16S ribosomal RNA". It matches the Rfam family "Bacterial small subunit ribosomal RNA", at positions 338 to 795 of the family's 1533-position model. The record is from RNAcentral.